This 791-nucleotide ribosomal RNA is filed under the name uncultured bacterium. Its description in RNAcentral is "bacterial SSU rRNA". It matches the Rfam family "Bacterial small subunit ribosomal RNA", at positions 8 to 796 of the family's 1533-position model. The record is from RNAcentral.
AGAGUUUGAUCAUGGCUCAGAUUGAACGCUGGCGGCAUGCCUUACACAUGCAAGUCGAACGGCAGCACGGGAGCAAUCCUGGUGGCGAGUGGCGAACGGGUGAGUAAUACAUCGGAACGUGUCCUGUAGUGGGGGAUAGCCCGGCGAAAGCCGGAUUAAUACCGCAUACGAUCUGUGGAUGAAAGCGGGGGAUCUUCGGACCUCGCGCUACAGGGGCGGCCGAUGGCAGAUUAGCUAGUUGGUGGGGUAAAGGCCUACCAAGGCGACGAUCUGUAGCUGGUCUGAGAGGACGACCAGCCACACUGGGACUGAGACACGGCCCAGACUCCUACGGGAGGCAGCAGUGGGGAAUUUUGGACAAUGGGCGAAAGCCUGAUCCAGCAAUGCCGCGUGUGUGAAGAAGGCCUUCGGGUUGUAAAGCACUUUUGUCCGGAAAGAAAACCUCGUGGUUAAUACCCGUGGGGGAUGACGGUACCGGAAGAAUAAGCACCGGCUAACUACGUGCCAGCAGCCGCGGUAAUACGUAGGGUGCAAGCGUUAAUCGGAAUUACUGGGCGUAAAGCGUGCGCAGGCGGUUCGCUAAGACAGAUGUGAAAUCCCCGGGCUUAACCUGGGAACUGCAUUUGUGACUGGCGGGCUAGAGUAUGGCAGAGGGGGGUAGAAUUCCACGUAGCAGUGAAAUGCGUAGAGAUGUGGAGGAAUACCGAUGGCGAAGGCAGCCCCCUGGGCCAAUACUGACGCUCAUGCACGAAAGCGUGGGGAGCAAACAGGAUUAGAUACCCUAGUAGUCC